RNAcentral lists this ribosomal RNA (536 nucleotides) under Enterococcus faecium. RNAcentral's name for it is "bacterial SSU rRNA". It matches the Rfam family "Bacterial small subunit ribosomal RNA", at positions 232 to 760 of the family's 1533-position model. Lineage: Bacteria; Bacillati; Bacillota; Bacilli; Lactobacillales; Enterococcaceae. The record is from RNAcentral.
CGCGGUGCAUUAGCUAGUUGGUGAGGUAACGGCUCACCAAGGCCACGAUGCAUAGCCGACCUGAGAGGGUGAUCGGCCACAUUGGGACUGAGACACGGCCCAAACUCCUACGGGAGGCAGCAGUAGGGAAUCUUCGGCAAUGGACGAAAGUCUGACCGAGCAACGCCGCGUGAGUGAAGAAGGUUUUCGGAUCGUAAAACUCUGUUGUUAGAGAAGAACAAGGAUGAGAGUAACUGUUCAUCCCUUGACGGUAUCUAACCAGAAAGCCACGGCUAACUACGUGCCAGCAGCCGCGGUAAUACGUAGGUGGCAAGCGUUGUCCGGAUUUAUUGGGCGUAAAGCGAGCGCAGGCGGUUUCUUAAGUCUGAUGUGAAAGCCCCCGGCUCAACCGGGGAGGGUCAUUGGAAACUGGGAGACUUGAGUGCAGAAGAGGAGAGUGGAAUUCCAUGUGUAGCGGUGAAAUGCGUAGAUAUAUGGAGGAACACCAGUGGCGAAGGCGGCUCUCUGGUCUGUAACUGACGCUGAGGCUCGAAAGC